GUGGGUAACCUGCCUGUAAGACUGGGAUAACUCCGGGAAACCGGGGCUAAUACCGGAUGCUUGUUUGAACCGCAUGGUUCAAACAUAAAAGGUGGCUUCGGCUACCACUUACAGAUGGACCCGCGGCGCAUUAGCUAGUUGGUGAGGUAACGGCUCACCAAGGCAACGAUGCGUAGCCGACCUGAGAGGGUGAUCGGCCACACUGGGACUGAGACACGGCCCAGACUCCUACGGGAGGCAGCAGUAGGGAAUCUUCCGCAAUGGACGAAAGUCUGACGGAGCAACGCCGCGUGAGUGAUGAAGGUUUUCGGAUCGUAAAGCUCUGUUGUUAGGGAAGAACAAGUACCGUUCGAAUAGGGCGGUACCUUGACGGUACCUAACCAGAAAGCCACGGCUAACUACGUGCCAGCAGCCGCGGUAAUACGUAGGUGGCAAGCGUUGUCCGGAAUUAUUGGGCGUAAAGGGCUCGCAGGCGGUUCCUUAAGUCUGAUGUGAAAGCCCCCGGCUCAACCGGGGAGGGUCAUUGGAAACUGGGGAACUUGAGUGCAGAAGAGGAGAGUGGAAUUCCACGUGUAGC
RNAcentral lists this ribosomal RNA (577 nucleotides) under Bacillus mojavensis. RNAcentral describes it as "bacterial SSU rRNA". It matches the Rfam family "Bacterial small subunit ribosomal RNA", at positions 117 to 679 of the family's 1533-position model. The record is from RNAcentral. Lineage: Bacteria; Bacillati; Bacillota; Bacilli; Caryophanales; Bacillaceae.